GCCCAGGUGGCUCAGCUGGUUGGAGCAUCAUCCAGUAUACCAAAAGGUUACAGGUUUGAUUCCUGGCCAGGGCA
RNAcentral lists this transfer RNA (74 nucleotides) under Myotis davidii. It matches the Rfam family "tRNA". Rfam says of the family: Transfer RNA (tRNA) molecules are approximately 80 nucleotides in length. Their secondary structure includes four short double-helical elements and three loops (D, anti-codon, and T loops). Lineage: Eukaryota; Metazoa; Chordata; Mammalia; Chiroptera; Vespertilionidae. The record is from Rfam by way of RNAcentral.